Non-coding RNA from Caerostris darwini, 109 nucleotides. The record is from the annotation of a GenBank genome assembly. Lineage: Eukaryota; Metazoa; Arthropoda; Arachnida; Araneae; Araneidae.
ACGGCUAUACCAUACUGAAUAUACCGGUUCUCGUUAGAUCACCGAAGUCAAGCAUCAUUGGGCGCGGUCAGUACUUGGGUGGGUGACACUGGGAACACCGCGUGCUGUU